This 253-nucleotide ribosomal RNA is filed under the name uncultured bacterium. RNAcentral's name for it is "partial 16S ribosomal RNA". It matches the Rfam family "Bacterial small subunit ribosomal RNA", at positions 524 to 776 of the family's 1533-position model. The record is from RNAcentral.
UACGGAGGGUGCGAGCGUUGUUCGGAAUCACUGGGCGUAAAGGGCGUGUAGGCGGUCCGCUAAGUCUGAUGUGAAAGCCCGGGGCUCACCCCCGGAAGUGCAUUGGAAACUGGCGGACUCGAGUCCCGGAGAGGAGAGUGGAAUUCCUGGCGUAGCGGUGAAAUGCGUAGAUAUCAGGAGGAACACCGGUGGCGAAGGCGGCUCUCUGGACGGUGACUGACGCUGAGACGCGAAAGCGUGGGGAGCAAACAGG